Molecule: ribosomal RNA, 301 nt
Filed under: uncultured bacterium
Lineage: Bacteria
Description: partial 16S ribosomal RNA
Rfam family: Bacterial small subunit ribosomal RNA
Source: RNAcentral
CAGUAGCCGCGGUAAUACGGAGGGUGCAAGCGUUAAUCGGAAUUACUGGGCGUAAAGCGCACGCAGGCGGUCUGUCAAGUCAGAUGUGAAAUCCCCGGGCUUAACCUGGGAACUGCAUUUGAAACUGUCAGGCUGGAGUCUUGUAGAGGGGGGUAGAAUUCCAGGUGUAGCGGUGAAAUGCGUAGAGAUCUGGAGGAAUACCGGUGGCGAAGGCGGCCCCCUGGACAAAGACUGACGCUCAGGUGCGAAAGCGUGGGGAGCAAACAGGAUUAGAUACCCCGGUAGUCCCUGUCUCUUAUAC